ACAAUAUAACAGUAUUUCAGUGCGUACAU
RNAcentral lists this small RNA (29 nucleotides) under Bombyx mori (domestic silkworm). RNAcentral's name for it is "ovarian small RNA-10963". Lineage: Eukaryota; Metazoa; Arthropoda; Insecta; Lepidoptera; Bombycidae. The record is from RNAcentral.